AAAGGAAUUGACGGGGGCCCGCACAAGCGGUGGAGCAUGUGGUUUAAUUCGAUGCAACGCGAAGAACCUUACCAUCCCUUGACAUCCAGAGAAGACUUCAGAGAUGAGGUUGUGCCUUCGGGAACUCUGAGACAGGUGCUGCAUGGCUGUCGUCAGCUCGUGUUGUGAGAUGUUGGGUUAAGUCCCGCAACGAGCGCAACCCUUAUCCUUAGUUGCCAGCACGUAAAGGUGGGAACUCUAGGGAGACUGCCGGUGAUAAACCGGAGGAAGGUGGGGACGACGUCAAGUCAUCAUGGCCCUUACGGGAUGGGCUACACACGUGCUACAAUGGCGUACACAAAGGGCAGCAAGCAUGCGAGUGCAAGCGAAUCUCAAAAAGUACGUCGUAGUCCGGAUUGGAGUCUGCAACUCGACUCCAUGAAGUCGGAAUCGCUAGUAAUCGUGGAUCAGAAUGCCACGGUGAAUACGUUCCCGGGCCUUGUACACACCGCCCGU
This 495-nucleotide ribosomal RNA is filed under the name uncultured bacterium. RNAcentral describes it as "bacterial SSU rRNA". It matches the Rfam family "Bacterial small subunit ribosomal RNA", at positions 903 to 1397 of the family's 1533-position model. The record is from RNAcentral.